UUGGCCCGUCCCGUCCCGUGAAAACUCGUGCCCGUCCCGGAUCGUAACUACACAAGACGGGCGCGGGUUGUAUAAUUAGUGGCUUGUGAAGAAACGGGUUAACCCGUCCCGUCCCGUGCAACCCGCGGGUAACCCGGCUCGGUCCGCACCCACUGCCACUUAGGCUGCUGCGUGUCACACAAUGACACAGUUAUCUGUUACGUGUCAUGUAACAUGUUCGUUCCUCUUCAUAUAAAAGGAAAAAACCCUAGCUCGCCUUCCUCUUCUUUCUUCCUCUUUUUUUCUUCUUCCCUGACCCUGCUGCAGCGCUGCUGAGUCUCCUACUCUCCUGAGUAAACUUCACAGAUUCACAGAAGUGACAGAAAAAUUAUUAGAUUCAUCUAAAGAUCAAAGACAGUCUUGAAGAGAAAUACAAGAGCGGAUUGAUUUUCUGGGCUCGUGAAGAUCGGAGGAAUACAACAACGAAUUGAUUUUCUGGGUUCGUGAAGAGUGAAUUGAUUUUCUGUUCGAUUAAUAAUAUAUUGGAGUUCUAGUGAAAUCUUUAAAUUUUGGUUUGAGCAGUUUGGAUAAGUGGUUGUCCCCUAAAUCUGAUGUCAAGUGUACAAGAGCAAGAGUUACCAGAACCAGACC
This is a long non-coding RNA of Papaver somniferum (opium poppy), 630 nucleotides long. RefSeq lists it as uncharacterized. The record is from RefSeq and is a predicted model, not a curated record. NCBI's taxonomy places the organism in Eukaryota, Viridiplantae, Streptophyta, Magnoliopsida, Ranunculales, Papaveraceae. The transcript has 4 exons.